Molecule: transfer RNA, 73 nt
Filed under: Capra hircus (goat)
Lineage: Eukaryota; Metazoa; Chordata; Mammalia; Artiodactyla; Bovidae
Also listed under: 1 other name
Rfam family: tRNA
About the family: Transfer RNA (tRNA) molecules are approximately 80 nucleotides in length. Their secondary structure includes four short double-helical elements and three loops (D, anti-codon, and T loops).
Source: Rfam by way of RNAcentral
UCUCUAGUUGUCUAGUGGUUAGGACUUCAUGCUGUCACUGUCAAGGGUGCAGGUUCAAUCCCUGGUUGGAGAA